GAUGAACGCUGGCGGCGUGCCUAAUACAUGCAAGUCGAGCGAACGGACGAGAAGCUUGCUUUUCUGAUGUUAGCGGCGGACGGGUGAGUAACACGUGGAUAACCUACCUAUAAGACUGGGAUAACUUCGGGAAACCGGAGCUAAUACCGGAUAAUAUUUUGAACCGCAUGGUUCAAAAGUGAAAGACGGUCUUGCUGUCACUUAUAGAUGGAUCCGCGCUGCAUUAGCUAGUUGGUAAGGUAACGGCUUACCAAGGCAACGAUGCAUAGCCGACCUGAGAGGGUGAUCGGCCACACUGGAACUGAGACACGGGCCAGACUCCUACGGGAGGCAGCAGUAGGGAAUCUUCCGCAAUGGGCGAAAGCCUGACGGAGCAACGCCGCGUGAGUGAUGAAGGUCUUCGGAUCGUAAAACUCUGUUAUUAGGGAAGAACAUAUGUGUAAGUAACUGUGCACAUCUUGACGGUACCUAAUCAGAAAGCCACGGCUAACUACGU
This 496-nucleotide ribosomal RNA is filed under the name uncultured bacterium. RNAcentral describes it as "partial 16S ribosomal RNA". It matches the Rfam family "Bacterial small subunit ribosomal RNA", at positions 28 to 506 of the family's 1533-position model. The record is from RNAcentral.